GGGGGGGGGCAAGCGUUGUUCGGAAUUACUGGGCGUAAAGGGUUCGUAGGUGGCCCGCUAAGUCAGACGUGAAAUCCCUCAGCUCAACUGAGGAACUGCGUCUGAGACUGGUGAGCUUGAGUGCAGGAGAGGAACGCGGAAUUCCAGGUGUAGCGGUGAAAUGCGUAGAUAUCUGGAGGAACACCGGUGGCGAAGGCGGCGUUCUGGACUGCUACUGACACUGAGGAACGAAAGCCAGGGGAGCAAACGGGAUUAGAUACCCCGGUAGUCCUGGCCCUAAACGAUGAAUGCUUGGUGUGGCGGGUAUCGAUCCCUGCCGUGCCGUAGUUAACGCGUUAAGCAUUCCGCCUGGGGAGUACGGUCGCAAAGGCUG
Molecule: ribosomal RNA, 373 nt
Filed under: uncultured organism
Description: partial 16S ribosomal RNA
Rfam family: Bacterial small subunit ribosomal RNA
Source: RNAcentral